AUUGAACGCUGGCGGAAUGCUUUACACAUGCAAGUCGAACGAUGAACCUUAGCUUGCUAAGGGGAUUAGUGGCGAACGGGUGAGUAAUGUAUCGGAACGUAUCCAAUAAUGGGGGAUAACUAGUCGAAAGAUUAGCUAAUACCGCAUACGUCCUACGGGAGAAAGCUAGGGACCUUCGGGCCUGGCGUUAAUGGAGCGGCCUAUAUCUGAUUAGCUAGUUGGUGGGGUAAAGGCUCACCAAGGCGACGAGCAGUAGCUGGUCUGAGAGGACGGACCGCCACACUGGAAGUGAGACACGGUCCAGACUCCUACGGGAGGCAGCAGUGGGGAAUGUUGGACAAUGGGCGAAAGCCUGAUCCAGCCAUUCCGCGUGAGUGAAGAAGGCCUUCGGGUUGUAAAGCUCUUUCGCAAGGGAAGAAAACUUAAGCUCUAACAUAGCUUGAGGUUGACGGUACCUUGAUAAGAAGCACCGGCUAACUACGUGCCAGCAGCCGCAGUAA
Molecule: ribosomal RNA, 500 nt
Filed under: uncultured bacterium
Lineage: Bacteria
Description: partial 16S ribosomal RNA
Rfam family: Bacterial small subunit ribosomal RNA
Source: RNAcentral